Molecule: unclassified non-coding RNA, 379 nt
Filed under: uncultured fungus
Lineage: Eukaryota; Fungi
Description: partial contains 5.8S ribosomal RNA and internal transcribed spacer 2
Rfam family: 5.8S ribosomal RNA (bases 1-133)
Source: RNAcentral
UGGCUCUCGCAUCGAUGAAGAACGCAGCGAAAUGCGAUAAGUAAUGUGAAUUGCAGAAUUCAGUGAAUCAUCGAAUCUUUGAACGCACCUUGCGCUCCUUGGUAUUCCGAGGAGCAUGCCUGUUUGAGUGUCAUUAAAUUCUCAACCUCACCUGGUUUUUGACUUGUGUGAUGGCUUGGAUUUGGGAGUUGUGCAGGCUGCAGUUCUGUAGCUCUGCUCUCCUUAAAUGUAUUAGCAGGUCUUUUUACCUCUAUCCCAACAGUGUGAUAAUUUAUCUACGCUGCUGGUUUGGAGUCCCAUUUAUGGGGGACUGGCUUCUAACCGUCUGCAAGGACAACUUGACAUUCUUGACCUCAAAUCAGGUAGGACUACCCGCUGA